UGGGGAAUAUUGCACAAUGGGCGCAAGCCUGAUGCAGCCAUGCCGCGUGUAUGAAGAAGGCCUUCGGGUUGUAAAGUACUUUCAGCGGGGAGGAAGGGAGUAAAGUUAAUACCUUUGCUCAUUGACGUUACCCGCAGAAGAAGCACCGGCUAACUCCGUGCCAGCAGCCGCGGUAAUACGGAGGGUGCAAGCGUUAAUCGGAAUUACUGGGCGUAAAGCGCACGCAGGCGGUUUGUUAAGUCAGAUGUGAAAUCCCCGGGCUCAACCUGGGAACUGCAUCUGAUACUGGCAAGCUUGAGUCUCGUAGAGGGGGGUAGAAUUCCAGGUGUAGCGGUGAAAUGCGUAGAGAUCUGGAGGGAUACCGGUGGCGAACGCGGCCCCCUGGACGAAGACUGACGCUCAGGUGCGAAAGCGUGGGGAGCAAACAGG
This 429-nucleotide ribosomal RNA is filed under the name Chloroflexota bacterium. RNAcentral describes it as "Chloroflexi bacterium partial 16S ribosomal RNA". It matches the Rfam family "Bacterial small subunit ribosomal RNA", at positions 355 to 776 of the family's 1533-position model. Lineage: Bacteria; Bacillati; Chloroflexota. The record is from RNAcentral.